This 586-nucleotide ribosomal RNA is filed under the name uncultured bacterium. RNAcentral's name for it is "partial 16S ribosomal RNA". It matches the Rfam family "Bacterial small subunit ribosomal RNA", at positions 355 to 1375 of the family's 1533-position model. The record is from RNAcentral.
UGGGGAAUUUUGGACAAUGGGCGAAAGCCUGAUCCAGCAAUGCCGCGUGUGUGAAGAAGGCCUUCGGGUUGUAAAGCACUUUUGUCCGGAAAGAAAUCCUUGGCUCUAAUACAGUCGGGGGAUGACGGUACCGGAAGAAUAAGCACCGGCUAACUACGUGCCAGCAGCCGCGGUAAUACGUAGGGUGCAAGCGUUAAUCGGAAUUACUGGGCGUAAAGCGUGCGCAGGCGGUUUGCUAAGACCGAUGUGAAAUCCCCGGGCUCAACCUGGGAACUGCAUUGGUGACUGGCAGGCUAGAGUAUGGCAGAGGGGGGUAGAAUUCCACGUGUAGCAGUGAAAUGCGUAGAGAUGUGGAGGAAUACCGAUGGCGAAGGCAGCCCCCUGGGCCAAUACUGACGCUCAUGCACGAAAGCGUGGGGAGCAAACAGGAUUAGAUACCCUGGUAGUCCACGCCCUAAACGAUGUCAACUAGUUGUUGGGGAUUCAUUUCCUUAGUAACGUAGCUAACGCGUGAAGUUGACCACCUGGGGGAGUACGGUCGCAAGAUUAAAACUCAAAUGAAUUGACGGGGUCAUAGCUGUUUCCU